Long non-coding RNA from Carassius carassius (crucian carp), 1528 nucleotides. RefSeq lists it as uncharacterized. The record is from RefSeq and is a predicted model, not a curated record. The transcript has 3 exons. NCBI's taxonomy places the organism in Eukaryota, Metazoa, Chordata, Actinopteri, Cypriniformes, Cyprinidae.
GACGAUGAGGUUUGAAUCAAAACAUAGCUUCUUUAAACAGAUUGCUCGUCACACCAACUGUUUUAAAAACAUAGCUCUCACACUAUCGGCAAAGCACCAGCUAAUGAUUGCUUUUCAUUUGCAUUCCUCUUGCCUUAAGAAGCCAUUAUUUGAAGUAACAAAUGUUUCAUUGAUUCCAGUUGAAGUGUUGAACAAGGAAAUAGCUUGCACCAUCAAACAGAGAUACCCAGAUGUAAUGGAAGUUAGUCUUGCCAAGUCUGUUAAUGCAAAUGGAAUAAGUUACAAAACAGGAAUGAUUCUUGCUCAUGGAUCACUCGCAGGCCUCCCUGAAUUUGUGGAAAUUAUGCAAAUUUGCAUUUUUCAAGACAAGUUGAGUUUCAUUUGCAAGAAGUUAUGUUGCUGGUACAGAGAGCAUUUUAGAGCAUUUGAAGUAAAUGCAUCACAUCUGAGAGAGUUGGUCAUUGUCGAGCAUGCUGAACUGUUAGAUGACUAUCCACUGGUGUGCUACUUGGUGGGGGCUGUCCAGAUGCUGACUUUGAAGAGAUACAUUCACGUAGCAGCAUAAUAGAUGUGAAGUUACUUGUUCCUGCUUGCAGAGGCUUGAGUUGGAUGUGACUUUCAAAGGCUGUACACUACGAGAUAAUUUUGAGAACUGAUAAAUAGAGCAAUGGCUCGACCAGUGAAACUUAGAGUAAUUUUAGCUGAUGAUGAUGCCAGGAAGUUGAUCCUGCCUGAAGGGCUUCCUAGUACUACUGAGGACCUUGCACAAAAAAUCACUGAAAUGUUCCAGCUUGAUGGGGAUAUCCGCUUGCAAUAUCAAGAUGACGAUUUUGGUGGCGAGUUUGUGAAUUUAACAACAAUUACUGAUGUUCAAGAUAAAGGAACCUUAAAGGUCAUCAUCAAGACUACAGGACAAAACCAGAGUGCAGCAUCAACUCCUGCUCGCUUAAUGCUGUGCCAGGCAGACGAUUCUGUAUCUGUAUCUUCAUUUGAAACUGACGACACUGUUCUUCUUUCUUCUCCUGAUGGGUCAGUGCAAUCCACAACAAGAUCUACUCCAUGGCCACUUGUAUUCCCAAUUCCACGCUUCUCCUAUGACUCUGAAAUAAUUCUACAGCAAGCUAAUACUGAAUACCAUGAGAACGGAAAUCGUCUCAAUCCGUCUCCAAAGCUGAAGUCACACAUUCUAGAAGUCCUAGCUGAGGAAAUCAUAAAAUACAAAGCAUAUCCAACUGAUCUAGACCUUAACACAGUGGCAGAAGCAUUAAUUAAUAAACACCCUUGCUUGCGAGAACAAGGCUCCUACAAUGGUUGCUAUGGGUGGAAAAUAAGCCUCAAAUAUAAGAUGGCAAACUUUCGUACUAAGCUCAGAAGUGUUGGGUGUUCAGAAGUAAGCAUAAACUCAAUGAAGAACAAACGCCAAGAUCAGUACCAUGCUGCUUCAAACAUCAAAAAGCCUAGAAGAGCCGAAGUAAAUUACUGCCCUCAACAUCCGAAGGGAGAAACGUCUGAAAGUUUAGAGAGGGAA